RNAcentral lists this ribosomal RNA (251 nucleotides) under uncultured bacterium. RNAcentral describes it as "partial 16S ribosomal RNA". It matches the Rfam family "Bacterial small subunit ribosomal RNA", at positions 524 to 776 of the family's 1533-position model. The record is from RNAcentral.
UACGGAGGAUGCAAGCGUUAUCCGGAAUUAUUGGGCGUAAAGCGCCCGCAGGUGGCUACAAGUCUGCUGUCAAAGACUGGAGCUCAACUCCGGGCAGGCGGUGGAAACUGUCGAGCAAGAGUACGGAAGGGGUAGAGGGAAUUCCCAGUGUGGCGGUGAAAUGCGAAGAGAUUGUGAAGAACAACGGUGGCGAAGGAGCUAUACUGGGCCGUAACUGACGCACAGGUGCGAAAGCUAGGGGCGUGAAAGGG